RNA transcript from Ornithorhynchus anatinus (platypus), 2314 nucleotides. It is a transcript of the gene named A-kinase anchoring protein 7, with no coding region annotated. The record is from RefSeq and is a predicted model, not a curated record. The transcript is spliced from 9 exons. Lineage: Eukaryota; Metazoa; Chordata; Mammalia; Monotremata; Ornithorhynchidae.
CUUGGCCCCGAUGGGAUGGUCCCGGCCCGGUCCGGCCUGCGGCGCCUCUGCCUGGAGCUGCGGGCCCGGGCCCUCCCGCCUCCCCGGGCCUCCUCUCGCCUCCACCCUGGGACCCCCGCACCCCCCGGGCCCGGCUCAGAGCCCCCGGACAUGGCGUCUGCACCCAACGCAGGAAGAUGUUCCAGUUCAGAAAAUCAAGGGAAAAGUAAAAAGGAACAUGCUCUUCAUGACAUUCGCUACCUGAUGGAAGAAAUGCCAUUUGGUGAUUCGGAGGCUGAAGAAGAAUUCGAAAUAUCCAAAGAAUUUGAAGUCUUCUUGAAGAAAAGGGAGGAAACUUCUGAGGACAAGAAAGAAGACAAACCAACUACAAAGAAGAAGAAAAAGAAAAAGACUCAACCAAAUUAUUUCCUCUCUAUUCCAAUAACCAACCAAGAGAUUACAAAAAACAUUCAGACUCUUCAAGCUUCAAUAAUACAGCAGGAUGCAAGACUCUCCAAAGCGAUGUGUAAACACAGUACCUUCCAUGUCACCUUGUUAGUGAUGAAAUUAUCAAGUGAAGAGCAAGUUAACAUAGCAGUCGGUGCAUUCUUGGAGACUAAAGCACUCAUAGAAGAAAUUCUACAAGGAAAGCCUUUAGAUUUAUCCUUUCAAGGAGUUGGUAAUUUUAGGAAUCAGGUGGGAUUUGUGAAGUUGGCCAAAGGUGAUCAGCUAUCUACACUUAUGGAAAUUGAAGAGACGGUGAAGAGGACAUUUCAAGAAAAGGGCAUAUUGGCAGGAGAAAACAGAAGUUUUACACCCCAUCUGACCUACAUGAAAAUGACCAGUAAUGUUGCAGGGCUACUUAAACAGGGAGUGAAAAAAAUCAACCCUGAGUUCUACAGAGCAUUUGAAAGUCAUCAUUUUGGUGAGGAAACCCUGCAUCGCAUUGAUCUUUGCUCCAUGCAAAAGGAGAAACAAGCCAAUGGCUAUUACCACUGUGAGUCUUCAAUUACGGUUGGGAAGAAUCCCAAUGUAGAUUUAAUUGAGAAAGCUUUGCGAAGAGAAACAACGGCCCUGUUUUCCAAAGUGAAACAGAUAAAGGAACUUUUAUCACAGCCAGAGAUCCGGGCAAAAAUCAAGAGAGAAAUGUUGGAUGCAAGACUCAGCAACAACAGUAAUCAAGAAGCUCCCAUUGAUUUUAGUUCUGCACCCAUAUAAUUUGUAAAUUGCUAUAAUGGUAACAAAUUUCAAAAAAUCUUUCUAACCUAUAUAACAGCUCUCUGGUAAACAUUCCAAAUCACUAUCAUUUUCAUGGAAACAUUAAUAGAACCCAAAAAGUUAUGUUUUGUUGGGUUUUUUCAUCGAUCACCACAGGGUCGAUAUUGUUUAUCUCAGAAUAUUGAGAAUUUGGGCCCAGAAAUGCUAAAACUGCCAGUGUAUGUGUAUUUCUCACCCAUCUGGUAAAACGUUUGGACUAUUCUAUAAUUCUGUUAGGAUAACUAUGUUUUUGUUUGCAGAAGCUAGUUCCCUUGCCGAAACUAGGCAUAUACUUUCAUGAGGGGUACUUAGGUCGUGUCUACACAAGAGCAAAAGGAAUUUGAGAAAGAAUUAAGCAGUCUUAUCAUGGGAAUCUGCUUCCCUUUCCAAACAUUUCCACACAACCUUUGCUAUAUUGUGGGGAAUUUUCCAGAGUGAAGCCACCUUACUGUCUGCUCUUCUCAUUUGGUUCGACUCCUUGAAAAACAGACAGUGCGGAGUAGGAAAACACCAACAGUAGUGUUUGGAAACGAUCACCUCGAGUCAGCCUCAGUCUUUCUGGAAUACAAUCCUGUUGAAAAUGUGAUGUUAUUUUCAUUUGGCAGUGUCUGUUUGGCAUGUAUUCCUGUCUGAAUUUACCUUUAAAAAUGCAGUUGUCGUAGCUGGUUGAGUUGAAUACAUAUUGUUUGCUGAUCAAAAUAAAAACAUUGGUGUGUGUUGCUCAGUGAUCAAAAUGAAGCCUGCUGUGUAAUUAAUUUUCUCAGAUUCUUAUUUUCUACAUUUCUGCAGAGGCGGCCUAGUUUUUGGUCAUUGUAAGCUGUUGGCAACAGGUUUUGUAUUUGACAACAUCAUGUAAAAUUACUUGGCAUGUUUCAGGUCAGACCCCGAAGACCCCCACUUAGAAGGCUGUGUAAGUUUGUGUGGUUUGGGCAGCACAACAGGAAAUAUUGAUUUUAUUGCAACCAUAUGAUAGCUCAUGGAUCCUUACGAUUGUUAAAGGAUAGCUGACUGUAUGUUUAUUUAUGAAUGCAUUUUAUGCAUUUUCAUUUAAUCUUAAUAAAGAUGUGGUUUUCCCUUC